Long non-coding RNA from Gossypium raimondii (Peruvian cotton), 3283 nucleotides. RefSeq lists it as uncharacterized. The transcript has 2 exons. The record is from RefSeq and is a predicted model, not a curated record. Lineage: Eukaryota; Viridiplantae; Streptophyta; Magnoliopsida; Malvales; Malvaceae.
AUGAUGGUGAUAUGCAAUUUUCAACUUGCAAAUGCAUUCGCAAAGAAUCCCAAAUACUAUCCAAAAAUCAAAUUACCAAAUAUAAUUAUCUGAGAGAUAUGAUUAUACAAAUCAAUUUUCAGAGACCGCAUAAUAAGCAUGUCAGAUUUAUAGAAUUGUAUAAUAUCUUAUGGGCUUGCUAAAGUUGUUGUGACUCUCUGUUGUUGUGAGUGCAAGGUUUUUUGUCCAGCCGCUUUCUGUGUUUGGAUUUUGUCUUGCCGUUAGUUCUUGGUGUUCAUUUGUUUGUUUUGCAUGAUUGUUGUCUCGGCGUUACUGCUGAGUUUGUAAUGGAGUCUGAUUUUCAGGCAUUGUCAAUCCGUGAGAAAGAGGAAGAGGAGUUGGGAGAUCAAUCAUUAUGUUUAUUUGGUAGGGAGAUUCUUGGGUGAUCGGAAUAUAAAUUUCAAUGCGAUGGAAAGAACUCUCCUUAGUUUGUGGAAACCAAUCCAAUAGGAAAAUAAUAGGGUUUUGGGUGAUUAUCUAUAUCUUAUUCAAUUUUACCAUAGGGCAGAUCUGAAAAAGAUUAUGAAUGGACGGCCCUGGUCUUUCAACAACUGCAUUCUCCUAGCUUAUCAAUUGGCUAUAUAGAAUCUCGAGGACAUUGAUUUUCAUUUAGCUGAUUUUUGGGUUGAAGUGCACCAUCUUCCGUCGAGUUUUUCUUCCGAGUCUCUAGCGAAAAAUUUGGGAAAUGUUUUGGGUUCUUUUCUUGAUUAUGGUACUGAGGUGAACAGGAAUCGAUUGAAUAGUUAUAUGCGCAUACGGGUCAGAUUGGAUAUCCGUCAACCAUUAUUGCGCUGGAAAAAGAUAAGGAAACAAGGCAAAGGUUGUUUGGAUGCUAGUUUCAAUAAUGAACGUAUCCCUACAAUCUGUUAUUUAUGUGGCUUGAUUUGUUAUAGCGAAUCAAAUUGUAGAAAACUCAUUGAUAUUGGUGAGGGGGAAGUGGUGCGUGCUUGGCUGGAAACUAUCCGUGCGGAGGUUCGACAGGCGUAGAAACAACGUGCAUUGCCAUGGCGGAGGGAGGGUCAACUGUUUUCGAGGGCUAAUCGAAUGGCUACUUCUUAGGGUUCUUCGAGUUUUAAUAAGCAGGAAAGGCGGACCUCUUGAAUAGAUAAGAGAUAUGCGUUCUAUCCUAAGCAAUUUUAGUUCAAAAGUUGGUAUAGGGGUUGCUAAUAAGGAGAAUAUUGUUGGUGAUGAUCUUGGGGAUAAUUCUGUAGGACCCGUUGAUGAACUAGAUGUCAAUAUAAAACAUACUGAAGCUUCUGUUAUAGAGACUGAUGAUCUGAAGAAAAGGCCACGGUCUACUGUGGAUGAUACUGUCGAUGGGAAGCCUUUUGGUGGAGAUGCUGUCUCUUCGAUCAACACUUCUGUUUCCACUUCUUUUUUAUCGGCUGGACUUGCAGACAACAAUGAUUUGCCUUAGUUGGAACUGCCAGGGACUGGGUAAUCCCCGAGCAGUAUGAGCUCUUCAAGAGCUUACUUGUACUGAGGCAAGUGAAAUAGAAUUCUUAAGUAUUUUCAUAUUCUAUUCUUGAGCUCUGGGUCUAAUGAUUUUUCGAAGUUUUCACAUGUUCAAUCUCGAGUUCUGAUGAGGAUAACAGGGCAUUUUUAGCACCAUUUACAAAGAUGGAGAUAAAGACUGGUUCAGUAUGCAUCCAAAUAAGGCUCCAGGCCCUGAUGGUUUUAACCCGGCUUUCUUCCAAAAGUGUUGCCAUUUGGGGGAGGUGGACGUAGUCCAGCAUUGUCAACAAUGGUUAAAUUGUGGUGAGUUCCCUAAUAAUUUGAAUGAUACUAUUUUGGUAUUAAUUCCCAAAACUAGCAAUCCGAUGGCUAUGAAGUAUUUGAGACCAUAGCUCUUUACAACGUCAUUUAUAAGGUUGUCGUCAAGGUUCUUGCUAACAGAUUGAAGGUGUUUCUGCCGAAAAUCAUCUCGCCUGUUCAGUCGGCAUUCAUUCUGAAUCGCCUUAUAAUGGACAAUGUUCUAGUUGCAUUGGAGAUAGUUCACUACAUGAAAGGAAAACAGUGAGGUAAAGUGGGGGAGGCAACACUUAAAAGUUGAUAUUAGUAAAGCAUAUGAAGGGGUGGAUUGACAUUUUCUUCAUUUUAUGCUUUAGAAAAUGGGUUUUGCCAGUCAUUGGAUUGAUUUGAUUCUGUUAGGUGUGAGGACGGUCCAAUACAAUGUCUCGUUUAAUGGUAGUUUGCUUGGUCCUUUUUGGCCCCAGUGUGGUUUAAGGGAAGACAAUCCUCUUUUGCCUUGUUUGUUUAUUAUUUGUGCUGAUGAUCUUUCAAGUCUUCUUCGACAGGCAGAAGAGCAUGGAGAUUUCCAUGUUAUUGCUGUUUGUAAGGGUACUUCGCGAGUUUCUCAUCUCUCUUUUGCUGACAAUAGCUUUUUUGUUUUCAAGGCAACUGAGGAAGAAAGUUGUAAGACAGCCUAAUAUGAAUAGUGUGACCACGGGUAUUAUUCAGUCUAUUCUAGGUGUUGAGUCGCCUAUUGACCAUGAGUGCUAUCGUGGCUUGCCUUCGCUUGUUGGUAAAAAUAAAAAAGUGCUUUUGGUUUGUCAAAGAGAGGCUUCAGCAGCGGCUUGACAGUUGGAAGAAUAGAUUUUUAAGCAAGGUGCUCAUUAUUAAAACUGUUGCACAAACAUUGCCUACAUAUACUGUUGUUGUUGCUCCUCUACUAUAGGCAGAUGCGAGUAGUUAGGAAGAAGCACCUGAGGACGGUUAGCUUAAAUGUAAUGUGGACACAACAACGUUUUCCACCAAGAACCAGACCAGUUUUGCUGGUGUUAUUAGAGAUGCUACAAGUAGGUUUAUUCAGGCUUUGUCGAGGCAUUUUCAAGGAGUCAUGGACGCUCAUGUGGCUGAAGCUAUUAUCAUGCGCAAGGCUCUUUCAUGGAUCAAGGAUUCAAACUGUGACCAAAUCGUUAUUGAACUCGAUUGCAUGGAAGUGUUCAAUGCUUUGGGUCAAGCAAGUUCACGAGUGUCAGAGUUUGGUUUAGUUUUGAACGAUUGCACUAAAUUAAAAGAUCGGUGUCGUAAUAUAUCCUUUCAAUGAAUUUGACGGAGUGCCAAUAAAACCGCUUAUUCUUUCGUGAGGGUAGCUUUAUUAUAUGCAAGUCGUAUUGUUUGGGAUCUUAUCCCCUCUUGUUUGAAUUCUAUUCUCUUUUUUGAGUUUCUUAUUGCUAAUGCUAGGAUUAGGAUGGACAUUAGGAACGGGAGUAAGCCUAUUGGCUUGGGAUUAAGUUGGUCA